Molecule: ribosomal RNA, 462 nt
Filed under: uncultured bacterium
Lineage: Bacteria
Description: bacterial SSU rRNA
Rfam family: Bacterial small subunit ribosomal RNA
Source: RNAcentral
CGAAUUCGCCCUUAGAGUUUGAUCCUGGCUCAGAAUGAACGCUGGCGGCGUGCUUAACACAUGCAAGUCGUACGAGAAACUCCGAUUUCGGUCGGGAGAGUAAAGUGGCGAACGGGUGAGUAACGCGUGGGUAAUUUACCUCCGAAGUGGGAAUAACCCCGCGAAAGCGGGGAUAAUACCUGAUAAUAUCUUGUGACCUAGGUUAUUGAGAUCAAAGGUGGCCUCUACAAGUAAGCUACCGUUUGGAGAUGAGCCCGCGUGCCAUUAGCUUGUUGGUGGGGUAAUGGCCUACCAAGGCGACGAUGGCUAGCUGGUCUGANAGGAUGAUCAGCCACACUGGAACUGANACACGGUCCAGACUCCUACGGGAGGCAGCAGUGAGGAAUUUUGCGCAAUGGGGGAAACCCUGACGCAGCANCNCCGCGUGAGUGAUGAAGGCUUUCGGGUCGUAAAGCUCUGUCA